UGGGUGCCGGGUCGCCGGGCAGGCGACGGCGCGUGGCGGCCGAGCAGCGUGUGUGGUGUGACCCUGGCGGAGGCUCCUUUCUCCCCAUUCUUUGCUGUAGUCAGUCAAUGAAAUAUUUGUUGAGCACCUGUUGUGAUCGUCCAGGCACUGUUUUAGCCGCUGGGGUAGGACAGUGAACAAUGUCAAGCCCUUGGCCUCCUGGCGCUUAAGUUCUAGUAGAGAGGUGUGGGCAGUAAACAAAUACGGUGCUAAGAGCUCUAAAGAGAAAUAAAACGGCCCGCAGUGACAGGUAGUGUCAUUCUAAAUGGAGUGGUCCCGGAAAACCUCUGAAGUGGUGUUAUUUCAGCAAAAGAUCUGAAGAAAGUGAGACAGUGUCCUAUCUCUUUCUGCCAAACCUGGUUAAUUUUACUGAAGAUGAUGAGGAAGAAUGGCUAAUCUAACAUUAAGAAAAUAUUUUGUGUGAGACAGCAAGAUGGAAGAAAGGAACAAAAGUACUACAAAACUAUGUGAAAUCAAUUAGCAAAAAGCAAUACAUUACCCACAAUAGCCAAGACGUGGAAGCAACCCAAGUGCCCAUCAGUGGAUGAAUGGAUAAAGAUGUGGCAUACAUAUACAAUGGAAUACUACUCAGCCAUAAAAAAAGACAAAAUCGUCCCAUCUGCGACAACAUGGAUGGACCCUGAGGGUAUUAAGUGAAAUAAGCCAGACAGAGAAAGACAAACACCUUAUAAUUUCACUCAUAUGUGGAAGAUAAACAGACUCAUGGAUAAAGAGAACAGAUUGGUGGUUACCAGAGAGGAAAGGGGUGGAGGGGGGAAGGACAAAAGGGGUAAAGGGGCACACGUAUGGUGACAGAUAAAAUCUCAACUCUCGGGGGUGAGCAAGAUGGAGUCUAUACAGAAACUGAUAGAUAAUGUACACCUGAAAUUACACAGUUAUAAACCAAUACGACCACAAUAAAAUAAUUAAAAAAAAAAAAAAGAGGUGAGGAAGCAUUCCCCUACAAGUUUCAGAGGGAACAGAGAGUUGACACCAUGAUUUAUGACGCCUUGAUUUCAGACUUCUAGCCUCCAGAGCUGAGACAAUAAAUUUCUAUUAUAAGCCACCCCGUUUGUGGUACUUUGUUACAAUAGCCCCUAUUGUUGGACAAGUAGAGCCUCCACUUUGGGCUUUUAUAGAUAUAUCUUAGCACAUCUGCAAUCAUUUCCUCAGGAUUAGUUUCUAGAUAGAGAAAUGCUGGGUCAGAGGACAUAUAACUUGCAUUGCUAAGUUGCCCUAUGAAGGUAUUAAUGUAAAUGAGCUCGUCCUGUGGGAGCAUCCAUUCCUUACACUCUGACAGCAGGCUUUGUUUUUGUUUGUUUUUAAUCACUGCUAAUUUCUGAUUUGGGUAAUCAAAGUGUCCAGAAAAAGAUAUGCCAGAGCAUGUUGGGUAGGACGUUAUAGACAUAUCCUGAAAAGAUUUAGUUGCAGUGUUUCUAGGUUAGUCUGUUCUUGUUCUCCUAGAAAGUAAUCGACUCAGGCAAAGGAGGGACAACUGCGAAUACACUGUGUCCAAGAACAGAUCUGGACAAAAGGAUGACAGUGGAAAUAAAUAUCAGCUUUAUUAACACUCAAAGUGCCAUUCAUUUAUAUUCAUUCCAUAGUCCAGAAGGUUACUUAGAGUAAGCCUUUGCACCUCAAUCUUUCAAAAAAUGAACAUGUAAGAAAAAGCAAUUUUCAUUGUGCUAAUUAUUGCAGGCCUUCAUGCACAAUAAAUCUAAACAAAGAUGUGUGCCAACAAUAUACAAAUUUCCAUAUAAACAAAGUCAUUGAUCACUAACAAAAUAUAAACAUGGUUUCUUUCACAUUAAAAAAAAAAGCUAUUUACCAGCAAGAAAAAGUACAUAAAAAUCGUAAAACUCAGAAAUUUUAUACAUUUUUACAAGCACAAUUUUGAAUGAACAACACAAAGUCAAAAUGUGUAUGAAAUGUGGCACAUACCACACUAUAUCUGGCUUCUGGUAGGUUUUUCUAAUCAUACUGGCUCCUUGUAACAUAAUAAACUUAGUGACAUUCAACUUCAACAGUGGACUUUAUUCCUAACACAAGUAAUUUUACAUGGUACCGCAUAUUAAAAACAAGGUUUUCCUAAGGUACAAUAACAUUAUCAGAUUGGAAAUUUAAUUUCCAAUUCUUUUUCUGCCAGUUACUUAAAAUACACAGUACAGUAUUAAGACACAAUGCCUGUUUGGACAUUUCUAAACCAAUUUAUAGUUAAUUACAGAGAAUCACAAUAUGUCAAUGUAUUGUUUUAUAAAUUCAGUCUGACCUUGCCCAGUAAGAGAAAAACUAAAAGUUGAAAUCUUUGGGGUAGAAUAAAGAAAAUAUUCAAAAACAAGAGGACGAUAGGCCAACAGCAACUGGAGAUAAAACAUCUUGAUAUCUCUUCAAGAUAAUUUAGUUCCUCACAUUUUUUCAUAGCUCUGAGAAUUCAAAGGCCGUUUUAGUGGAUAGUGGGUUUUUGCUACUGCUUAAAACCUAUUUUUUCCUCUUAAUUUGCAUUUCAUAGAAUCCUCAAAAGAGAAUUCAAUGCUCUUUCUUGCAAGAGUAUUUUAAUUGAUAUCUAAGUAAAUCUGCAUCCAAGUCUGGAAAUACAAAUACAUUUUGCAUGGUUAAAAACAAAAUUAAAAAAAUAUUUUUGAUCAGCCAGCUGAAAAUAUAUUCAUAUAGUAAAUAAUCUC
Molecule: long non-coding RNA, 2720 nt
Organism: Diceros bicornis minor
Lineage: Eukaryota; Metazoa; Chordata; Mammalia; Perissodactyla; Rhinocerotidae
Exons: 3
Source: RefSeq, a predicted model, not a curated record